This 269-nucleotide ribosomal RNA is filed under the name uncultured prokaryote. RNAcentral describes it as "partial 16S ribosomal RNA". It matches the Rfam family "Bacterial small subunit ribosomal RNA", at positions 524 to 792 of the family's 1533-position model. The record is from RNAcentral.
CACGUAGGAUCCGAGCGUUAUCCGAAUUUACUGGGCGUAAAGCGCGUGUAGGCGGCCGGGUAAGUUGGACGUGAAAUCUCCUGGCUCAACUAGGAGAGGUCGUUCAAAACUGCCUGGCUAGAGGGCGACAGAGGGAGGUGGAAUUCCCGGUGUAGUGGUGAAAUGCGUAGAUAUCGGGAGGAACACCAGUGGCGAAGGCGGCCUCCUGGGUCGCACCUGACGCUCAGACGCGAAAGCUAGGGGAGCAACGGGAUUAAGAUACCCCCGUA